AAUCAAAGUAAUUUGCUUCAUACACAUGUAUUAACUAUUAAUGUGUCAUAAUACCAGUAGCUCUGCAAUGCGGUUGUCCUUCUUGUUUGUUGAAUGAUACUGUUUUUGUUACUUGUUCUUCUGCAGUAGCAGCUAGGUAAUACUAAUGCCUGAAUUACUUAUAGAACCUUCAUUCGCUACUUGCUAUUUGUACUUGUUGAACUUUAAUUUUGUUCUUCUAAAAUUUUGUAGGCAUUAAUCUAGAGCUGUUUAGGGCAGCAGGUGUGCGCAUUGUUUUUCUCAUAACUCCUGUUUUAGGUCCUGCUAAAUAAUAACCUCAUUCUUGAAAGCUAGGCACAUGAACCUUUAUUGCUCCUUUGAGCAGUGUGCAAAAAAAUAUAUGGGUGUGUGUUUGACAGUAUGCAUGUUAUUUUUUGGCUUUGUCGAAUUCUUUUCCAAGUACACCUCACCUCUCACCCUACUGGCCUCACUCUUAAAAUUUUCAUACAGGACCUGAAUUCAUUUCCCAUUCAUUGGCUAAACUUGUUGAACACAAAACUUAUGUGG
This 546-nucleotide unclassified non-coding RNA is filed under the name Hevea brasiliensis (rubber tree). Lineage: Eukaryota; Viridiplantae; Streptophyta; Magnoliopsida; Malpighiales; Euphorbiaceae. The record is from RNAcentral.